Molecule: ribosomal RNA, 253 nt
Filed under: uncultured bacterium
Lineage: Bacteria
Description: partial 16S ribosomal RNA
Rfam family: Bacterial small subunit ribosomal RNA
Source: RNAcentral
UACGUAGGGGGCUAGCGUUGUCCGGAUUUAUUGGGCGUAAAGAGCGUGUAGGCGGCCAGGUAGGUCUGCUGUGAAAACUCGAGGCUCAACCUCGAGACGUCGGCGGAAACCAUCUGGCUAGAGUCCGGAAGAGGAGAGUGGAAUUCCUGGUGUAGCGGUGAAAUGCGUAGAUAUCAGGAGGAACACCGGUGGCGAAGGCGGCUAUCUGGACAGAGUCUGACGCUGAGGCGCGAAAGCUAGGGGAGCAAACAGG